UACGUAGGGAGCAAGCGUUGUCCGGAAUCAUUGGGCGUAAAGCGCGCGUAGGCGGCCUCAUAAGUCCGUUGUGAAAGUCAAAGGCUCAACCUUUGAAAGCCGAUGGAUACUGUGAGGCUAGAGUCCGGAAGAGGCGAGUGGAAUUCCUGGUGUAGCGGUGGAAUGCGCAGAUAUCAGGAGGAACACCUAUAGCGAAGGCAGCUUGCUGGGACGUUACUGACGCUAAGGCGCGAAAGCGUGGGGAGCGAACAGG
RNAcentral lists this ribosomal RNA (253 nucleotides) under uncultured bacterium. Its description in RNAcentral is "partial 16S ribosomal RNA". It matches the Rfam family "Bacterial small subunit ribosomal RNA", at positions 524 to 776 of the family's 1533-position model. The record is from RNAcentral.